GACGGAGGGCGCGAGCGUUGUUCGGAAUUACUGGGCGUAAAGCGCGCGCAGGCGGACCUGUGCGUCGGGAGUGAAAGCCCGGGGCUCAACCCCGGUGUCCGCUUCCGAUACGGCGGGUCUAGGGACCGGUAGAGGCCGGUGGAAUUCCCGGUGUAGCGGUGGAAUGCGUAGAGAUCGGGAAGAACACCAGUGGCGAAGGCGGCCGGCUGGGCCGGUGGCUCCCCUUCGGGGGAGUGUCCGACGCUCAUGCGCG
Molecule: unclassified non-coding RNA, 253 nt
Filed under: uncultured Gemmatimonadota bacterium
Lineage: Bacteria; Pseudomonadati; Gemmatimonadota
Description: uncultured Gemmatimonadetes bacterium contains 16S-23S intergenic spacer region
Rfam family: Bacterial small subunit ribosomal RNA
Source: RNAcentral